CAGUAGCCGCGGUAAUACGUAGGUGGCAAGCGUUGUCCGGAAUUAUUGGGCGUAAAGGACUCGCAGGCGGUUUCUUAAGUCUGAUGUGAAAGCCCCCGGCUCACCGGGGAGGGUCAUUGGAAACUGGGAAACUUGAGUGCAGAAGAGGAGAGUGGAAUUCCACGUGUAGCGGUGAAAUGCGUAGAGAUGUGGAGGAACACCAGUGGCGAAGGCGACUCUCUGGUCUGUAACUGACGCUGAGGAGCGAAAGCGUGGGGAGCGAACAGGAUUAGAUACCCCGGUAGUCCCUGUCUCUUAUACA
RNAcentral lists this ribosomal RNA (301 nucleotides) under uncultured bacterium. RNAcentral's name for it is "partial 16S ribosomal RNA". It matches the Rfam family "Bacterial small subunit ribosomal RNA", at positions 509 to 808 of the family's 1533-position model. The record is from RNAcentral.